GUUUCGGUUGGUGGACGAAUAGCGGGAAGCUGGUAUAUUUAUAAGCAACACAUGGAUUCGCCCUGGCAACUCGUACAUAAAAUAGGAAAUGACGUCGUCAACGUCCCCACAGUUAGACAACAGAUCAAUCGCCAUUCAAGUCGAUACAGCGAUCGGCUUCACGCUCACACCAUCCACAAAUCGGCUUCACUGGCUAAUACGACGACCAGGCGAAGACUGAAGAGGCGACAUCCAGGAGACCUUUAGACAAGGGGGAGGCAAAGAACGCGAGUGCUUCUAAACUAGCGAAAACUAUUAGCUGAUCGAACUUAUUAUUCAAAUUUAUAAUUAAUCUUUGCUGUUAUGUUUUAAUGUUAUUUUCAUUGCCUCUGUUAGUUCCUACGUUUUAAAGCCUUUCAAUUGCUUGUUUAACGUAAAAUAAAUUUAUAUUAUAUACAAAAAAAUGAAAA
Molecule: long non-coding RNA, 449 nt
Organism: Drosophila sechellia
Lineage: Eukaryota; Metazoa; Arthropoda; Insecta; Diptera; Drosophilidae
Exons: 2
Source: RefSeq, a predicted model, not a curated record